RNAcentral lists this ribosomal RNA (467 nucleotides) under uncultured bacterium. RNAcentral's name for it is "partial 16S ribosomal RNA". It matches the Rfam family "Bacterial small subunit ribosomal RNA", at positions 28 to 507 of the family's 1533-position model. The record is from RNAcentral.
GAUGAACGCUGGCGGCGCGCCUAACACAUGCAAGUCGAACGAUUAAAGCACCUUCGGGUGUGUAUAAAGUGGCGAACGGCUGAGUAACACGUGGGCAACCUGCCCCUUUCAUUGGGAUAGCCACGGGAAACCGUGGAUAAUACCGAGUACUUCGAGACUUCCGCAUGGAAGACUCGAGAAAGCUCCGGCGGAGAGGGAUGGGCCCGCGGCCUGUUAGCUUGUUGGUGGGGUAACGGCCUACCAAGGCAAUGAUGGGUAGCUGGGUUGAGAGACCGACCAGCCAGAUUGGGACUGAGACACGGCCCAGACUCCUACGGGAGGCAGCAGUGGGGAAUCUUGCACAAUGGGCGAAAGCCUGAUGCAGCGACGCCGCGUGCGGGAUGAAGGCCUUCGGGUUGUAAACCGCUUUCAGCAGGGACGAGGCGAAAGUGACGGUACCUGCAGAAGAAGCCCCGGCUAACUACGUG